RNAcentral lists this ribosomal RNA (458 nucleotides) under uncultured bacterium. RNAcentral's name for it is "partial 16S ribosomal RNA". It matches the Rfam family "Bacterial small subunit ribosomal RNA", at positions 29 to 507 of the family's 1533-position model. The record is from RNAcentral.
AACGAACGCUGGCGGCAUGCCUAACACAUGCAAGUCGAACGAGCCCUUCGGGUCUAGUGGCGCACGGGUGUGUAACGCGUGGGAACCUGCCCUUAGGUUCGGACUAACUCCCCGACAGGGGUGCUAAUACCGGAUCAUGUCUUCGGACCAAAGAUUUAUCGCCUCUGGAUGGGCCCGCGUUGGAUUAGCUAGUUGGUAGGGUAAAAGCCUACCAAGGCGACGAUCCAUAGAUGGUCUGAGAGGGUGAUCAGCAACACUGGAACUGAGACACGGCCCAGACUGCGGCGGGAGGCAGCAGUAGGGAAUCCUCAGCAAUGGGAAAAAGCUUGAUGGUGCAACGCCGCGUGAGUGAUGAUGGUAUUCGGAGCGUAAAACAGGGUUAUUAGGGAAGAACAAGUGUGGAAGUAACUCUGCACGUCUUGACGGUACCUAAUCAGAAAGCUACGGCUAACUACGUG